CUACGGGAGGCUGCAGUGGGGAAUAUUGGACAAUGGGGGAAACCCUGAUCCAGCAAUGCCGCGUGUGUGAAGAAGGCCUGCGGGUUGUAAAGCACUUUCGGUUGGGAGGACUGCUUCUAGCACUAAUAUUGUUGGAAGUUGACGUUACCUUCAGAAGAAGCACCGGCUAACUCCGUGCCAGCAGCCGCGGUAAUACGGAGGGUGCAAGCGUAAUCGGAAUUACUGGGCGUAAAGCGCGCGUAGGCGGCUAGAUCAGUCGGGUGUGAAAGCCCCGGGCUUAACCUGGUAACUGCAUCCGAUACUGUCUAGCUUGAGUACAGGAGAGGAGAGUGGAAUUCCACAUGUAGCGGUGAAAUGCGUAGAUAUGUGGAGGAACACCAAUGGCGAAGGCAGCUCUCUGGCCUGAUACUGACGCUGAGGUGCGAAAGCGUGGGGAGCAAACAGGAUUAGAUACCCCAGUAGUC
RNAcentral lists this ribosomal RNA (464 nucleotides) under uncultured bacterium. RNAcentral describes it as "partial 16S ribosomal RNA". It matches the Rfam family "Bacterial small subunit ribosomal RNA", at positions 339 to 795 of the family's 1533-position model. The record is from RNAcentral.